CAGUUCUAGUUAUUUUAUAAUAACUUUAACCAAAUUCUUUUUUUAACUAAUAUCAAAAACCAUAUACAAACAAAAAAAUAAAAAUGUGUGAAAAAAAUAACCUAGGCUUACCAAUGGAUGUCUUGGCUCCUCACACGAUGAAGAACGUUGCAUAAUGUGUUAAGUAACUGGAGUUGCAAGCAUUGUGACAAGUUAAUCUUUGAAUGCAAAUUGCGCUUAUCCUCACUUUCGGGUGAAGAUUGCAUGUAUGCCACAGUACUGCAUAACAUAAAUUAUAUUCUUUCUACAUAAAAUAGAAAGCAAAUAAUAAUUUAAGCAAAAACAAUAC
RNAcentral lists this ribosomal RNA (328 nucleotides) under Tetratrichomonas sp. IdnP1. RNAcentral's name for it is "5.8S ribosomal RNA". The stretch from base 103 to 261 matches the Rfam family "5.8S ribosomal RNA". The record is from RNAcentral. Lineage: Eukaryota; Parabasalia; Trichomonadida; Trichomonadidae.